This 237-nucleotide unclassified non-coding RNA is filed under the name Hevea brasiliensis (rubber tree). The record is from RNAcentral. Lineage: Eukaryota; Viridiplantae; Streptophyta; Magnoliopsida; Malpighiales; Euphorbiaceae.
UGGUCGGAUUUGAUCGAUUUGGGGUGUUUCAAUAUCAUCAUCCUUCGGUUCAACUUGAUCGAGAGAUGGUGGUUCCUCAGGUUGGGGUUUUGCCAUGUUGUCAUUGUCAAAGGACUUGAUUUGUAGAUCUCCUUCAGGUUGGGUUUUGUCCAAGUUUUCAUUAUCAACGGUUUCCAUUUGUUGAUCUCCUUCAGGUUGAGUUUUGUCCAAGUUGUCAUUGUCAAAGGUUUCGAUUUG